UUCCGAUUAGUCUAGUGGUUAGGAUAUCGGCUUGUCACCAAGAACUCUGGUUCUGAUAUUCGCCGGGGACCGGGGUUCAAUUCCCCGAUCGGAAG
Molecule: transfer RNA, 95 nt
Filed under: Verticillium nonalfalfae
Lineage: Eukaryota; Fungi; Ascomycota; Sordariomycetes; Glomerellales; Plectosphaerellaceae
Description: tRNA-Asp
Rfam family: tRNA
About the family: Transfer RNA (tRNA) molecules are approximately 80 nucleotides in length. Their secondary structure includes four short double-helical elements and three loops (D, anti-codon, and T loops). Further hydrogen bonds mediate the characteristic L-shaped molecular structure. tRNAs have two regions of fundamental functional importance: the anti-codon, which is responsible for specific mRNA codon recognition, and the 3' end, to which the tRNAs corresponding amino acid is attached (by aminoacyl-tRNA synthetases). tRNAs cope with the degeneracy of the genetic code in two manners: having more than one tRNA (with a specific anti-codon) for a particular amino acid; and 'wobble' base-pairing, i.e. permitting non-standard base-pairing at the 3rd anti-codon position.
Source: RNAcentral